This 200-nucleotide unclassified non-coding RNA is filed under the name soil metagenome. Its description in RNAcentral is "partial contains internal transcribed spacer 2 and large subunit ribosomal RNA". The record is from RNAcentral.
UAUGGGGGGCCUUUUGCUGGUCUUUUAAAGAGGUCAGCUCCCCUAAAAUCUAUUAGCGGAACAAUUUGUUGACCGUCCAUUGGUGUGAUAAUUAUCUACGCUAUUGACGUGAGGCAGUUCAGCUUCUAACAGUUCAUUGACUUGGACAGUUUUUUCAUUAAUGUGACCUCAAAUCAGGUAGGACUACCCGCUGAACUUAA